AGAGUUUGAUCCUGGCUCAGAAUCAACGCUGGCGGCGUGCCUAACACAUGCAAGUCGAACGAGAAAGUGGAGCAAUCCAUGAGUAAAGUGGCGCACGGGUGAGUAACACGUGACUAACCUACCCUGGAGUGGGGGAUAACUGAGGGAAACCUUAGCUAAUACCGCAUAAUACCUACGGGUCAAAGGAGCAAUUCGCUUUGGGAGGGGGUCGCGGCCGAUUAGUUAGUUGGCGGGGUAAUGGCCCACCAAGACGAUGAUCGGUAUCCGGCCUGAGAGGGCGCACGGACACACUGGAACUGAAACACGGUCCAGACUCCUACGGGAGGCAGCAGUGGGGAAUUUUGCGCAAUGGGGGAAACCCUGACGCAGCAACGCCGCGUGGAGGAUGAAGACCUUCGGGUCGUAAACUCCUUUCGAUCGGGACGAUAAUGACGGUACCGGAAGAAGAAGCCCCGGCUAACUUCGUGCCAGCAGCCGCGGUAAUACGAGGGGGGCGAGCGUUGUUCGGAAUUAUUGGGCGUAAAGGGUGCGUAGGCGGUUUGGUAAGUCUUGUGUGAAAUCUACAGGCUCAACUUGUAGUCUGCACGAGAAACUGCCGGGCUUGAGUAUGGGAGAGGUGAGUGGAAUUCCUGGUGUAGCGGUGAAAUGCGUAGAUAUCAGGAGGAACACCUGUGGCGAAAGCGGCUCACUGGACCAUAACUGACGCUGAUGCACGAAAGCUAGGGG
RNAcentral lists this ribosomal RNA (726 nucleotides) under uncultured bacterium. RNAcentral's name for it is "bacterial SSU rRNA". It matches the Rfam family "Bacterial small subunit ribosomal RNA", at positions 8 to 766 of the family's 1533-position model. The record is from RNAcentral.